ACGGGUGAGUAACACGUGGGCAAUCUGCCCUUCACUCUGGGACAAGCCCUGGAAACGGGGUCUAAUACCGGAUAACACUUCCACUCGCAUGGGUGGAGGUUAAAAGCUCCGGCGGUGAAGGAUGAGCCCGCGGCCUAUCAGCUUGUUGGUGAGGUAAUGGCUCACCAAGGCGACGACGGGUAGCCGGCCUGAGAGGGCGACCGGCCACACUGGGACUGAGACACGGCCCAGACUCCUACGGGAGGCAGCAGUGGGGAAUAUUGCACAAUGGGCGAAAGCCUGAUGCAGCGACGCCGCGUGAGGGAUGACGGCCUUCGGGUUGUAAACCUCUUUCAGCAGGGAAGAAGCGAAAGUGACGGUACCUGCAGAAGAAGCGCCGGCUAACUACGUGCCAGCAGCCGCGGUAAUACGUAGGGCGCAAGCGUUGUCCGGAAUUAUUGGGCGUAAAGAGCUCGUAGGCGGUCUGUCGCGUCGGAUGUGAAAGCCCGGGGCUUAACCCCGGGUCUGCAUUCGAUACGGGCAGACUAGAGUGUGGUAGGGGAGAUCGGAAUUCCUGGUGUAGCGGUGAAAUGCGCAGA
RNAcentral lists this ribosomal RNA (578 nucleotides) under Streptomyces sp. RDB-175. RNAcentral's name for it is "bacterial SSU rRNA". It matches the Rfam family "Bacterial small subunit ribosomal RNA", at positions 102 to 694 of the family's 1533-position model. The record is from RNAcentral. RNAcentral also lists the same sequence under 2 other names. Lineage: Bacteria; Bacillati; Actinomycetota; Actinomycetes; Kitasatosporales; Streptomycetaceae.